Long non-coding RNA from Lutra lutra (Eurasian river otter), 3126 nucleotides. RefSeq lists it as uncharacterized. Lineage: Eukaryota; Metazoa; Chordata; Mammalia; Carnivora; Mustelidae. The record is from RefSeq and is a predicted model, not a curated record. The transcript is spliced from 4 exons.
GCAGGCUUGGCCGUGGGACAGGGAGGUGCGGACGCAGCCUCCCUGCACAGCACCGCCUGCGGGCGGUGUAGGAGGAAACGCUGGUGGGGAAGAUGGGUCUCAGAUGUUUGAGGGACGCCAGGUGUUCGGACGGUUACUCUAAAGGUCUGGAGCCCGCGACAAGGUGCUGAGACCAUUUAGGAGCGCGCACCCCGGGAGAAGAGAGCAAAGGACUGUAUCUCAGGAACCUGGACAGUUGUGAUGUUGCCUAACAGGGAUCCUGGGAAGGAAAUGUGAAAAUGAAGAGCAGGUAUUAGGAGAAAUGGACAGACAAGUGUUCCAGAAACUGAGGUUAAGAGGGUGACCUAAACCAAAGGUAGCAAUGACUUCGGUAGGUGAAGGAAAGUCAGGUUGAAAUGUGGGUUUGGAAAUCGGGGAGCCUUGGGGAGAGUAGGCUGGCUGCGGGACGCGGGGAGCAGGAGCAAGACCAGGUCGGGCUGAGAAGUAAAGUGGGGGGCGGGUGAGGAUGAGUGUGGAGCCUAAGAUCCUUGGGGGCCGAGAUGGCGUUUGAUUUGUCUUUGAUUUCCCAUCGCUGGUACAGAGUAGUGUAGGUUCUUUUAGGAAGUCUGAGUGUAAAGGGAAGAAGAGAGCUGAGCUGUGUGCCGAGUCAAGAGGACUGGUCAAGGCCUCUUUCUGUCAGCUUGUACAGAGGAGGAGACUGGGUACACAAACUUGACAUCAAAAGAGAAUAGCAGUGAGGGGUGGAGGAGUGAGCUGUGAGCAAAAACAAGGACUCUAGUCACAGAGACAAAGGAAAGGAUGAAGGGUGGGAGAAGGGACAAGCUGUGUGUGUGACAGCUUUUGUUUCCUCUUGGGAAAGUGGGAGGCAAGGUUGUCUGCUAAGAAUUAGAUGGUGGACAAAUUGGAUAGGAGUUAAGAGAGUGACAUCAUUUAAAAGGCAAGUUGCCGAGGUAAUUAGGUGCGAGAAAUGCCUAAAGACAAGCCAUAGGAAUGGUAAAUUUUUGAGGUGCCCUGUACAAGAUUUUGUGGGGUCAUAGUUCUGCUAAAUGGCAUCAUUUUCUCUAGCAGUGAUCAGGUGCCAGUUAUCAGAAUGCUGGAUGCCAGUCUAAGGAGAUCUUCUAGGCCACUGGAUCCCAGGUCCUGCCCACCAAAACCUCCUAGAAAUCUUCCCUAAAUCACAGAUUCCACAGAAUCACUGCCCAGAAAUUCAGAUCCUGAAUCGGUGGCGAGGCCUGGAAAGCUGUGUUUUUAAUUAGCUCCCUACUGAUCCCCACAUAGCCAGAGGACUUUCUGCCCUCUGGAGGGAGGAAGGGUACUAGUGGAAGAUACUCAAAAGAAGUAACUGCCCUUGGAAACUGACCUAUGAGCAGCACAGAAGAUGAAGGAGAAGAGGGACAUCAAGCAGAGAAAUGAGGAGGUACAGACAACUCCUGAUUAUUUGUGGGAUUCUUCAAGGAACCUGAGAAGACAUAUUGCAAAAGAGGAGCUUAAAGGGCUGGUAUGCUUACUGAUGAUGCAUGUAGGAGCUCAGAAUACUGGGUUUGGGAAUAUCACUAUAAAUAUGAAGAUUUUAGAUUUUUGUGGAAAAAAUAUUUAAGUUAUUUAAAGAAUAAGCUAUAUCAAACUUGCUUAAUUUCCUUCAUUUUUAAAAAAAAUAAAGUUAUUAGAUUCAUAAAACAAGAGAAUGCUAUUGUCUGUAUAUUUAAUUUUAAGAAAUUAUUUGAGCAAGUUUUUCAUCCUUUUCAUCAAGAUAAACAUUGAAAACAUAGGUCAUUUCACAGCUGGUUAUAUAUUCUUUUUCCAAAGGCUAUUAUUCGCUGACUUACAGUUAAAAUUUCUGCUAAAUGUGCCAUAAAGUGCUGCCUUGUCUCUCUCCCAUUCUUCUCAAUCUUUAUUAUAUAAUUCAAGGUCAUGAAUAUUCCAUUUGAAGGUUUAUUUCCAUCUGUUCAGUACCAUCCAUAUCUACUAGCCUAAUUAUAUCAUUUAUAUUUUAAACAUCUAGAAAUCAACUCUAUAACAAAAAUGUCUAAGAAGUAAUAAUCUCAUGUACCAUUAGCUUUUUUUCUCUUUACAAUUCUUAGUCAAGCCUAAAAUGAACACCUCCCCUUUGAAGAAUGGACCCCUACAGCCCCUCAGCCUUCUUGUCUACCAUGUGACAGAUUUCUAUCCAGGCCACAUUAAACCCCACUGGUUCCUAAACGGACAGGAGGAAAACAGCUAGGGUAUGUCCACCAACCUGAUCUGUAAUAAAGACUGGAUCUUCCAGAUCCUGGUGAUGUUGGCAAUGACCCUUCAGCAGGGAGAUAGUUGGGCCUGUCAAGCAGAGCACCCCCGGAUGGUACUGUCACUGUGGAGUGGAGAUUCCUGAUCUGACCUGAAGACAGGCAUGUGCCCUGGAACAAGCAUUUUUCUAUCUUUCCUCAGUCCCAGAGGCAGGUUCUGGGACAGACUUCAGCCUCCCAAGAGGAUGUUACUGCCAAGUGCCUCUGCAGUGGCCACUGUGAGCCAGGCGGUGAGGAGAAAAUGAGGCCGAGCAGGGCAUGGAGGAGCUCUGAAUCCAGGACUUAUUUCCCUUUCUGGUGGAAGGAGAAGGGGUGGAAGUGAAACGGCUCAGCGGAACCAGAAAAUGUGAGGAAGGACGUCUCCGCGUCUGGGAAAGAGGCGAGAACCGACAUGGCUGAGAAAGCCCUAACCUAUGUGGGGUUCAGGGAUAAGAGGAAGAGAACAAAAGUGGAGACUUGAUAAUCACCUUCCUUUUAAUGGGAUCAAUUGGAAAUACAUCUAUGAAAUUGAUCCUGGAGUAUUUUUUAUUUGUAGUAACUUUUGUGAAUGGAUAAUUUUCUUCAUAAUUUUAUGUUGAUUUUUUUGUACCAUAUAAGAAUGCACUUGCUUAUUUUUAAGUAAUGUUAUAUUUUACCCUCUCAUUCCUUUGAUAAUCUUGGAGGACUCUGAUGUUUCCAGACGUGGAAUCAAAAUGCAAAAAAUACUAUUUCACUUCAAUUACUACUUUUAUUUCUUCUUGAAAUUUUUAUCUUCUUUAUACAAGAUUAAUAUUUUACUACUUAGUCUAAAAUUAACUCUGCUUUAUAAUUCUUUUUUUUUUUUUUUUUUUUUUUUUUAAUAAAU